UGGCCCAUCCAGUUAAUCUCCUGAUAUC
RNAcentral lists this non-coding RNA (28 nucleotides) under Rattus norvegicus (Norway rat). Lineage: Eukaryota; Metazoa; Chordata; Mammalia; Rodentia; Muridae. The record is from RNAcentral.